AUGCACGCUGGCGGCGUGCCUAAUACAUGCAAGUCGCGCGAACAGACGAGGAGCUUGCUCCUCUGACGUUAGCGGCGGACGGGUGAGUAACACGUGGAUAACCUACCUAUAAGACUGGGAUAACUUCGGGAAACCGGAGCUAAUACCGGAUAAUAUAUUGAACCGCAUGGUUCAAUAGUGAAAGACGGUUUUGCUGUCACUUAUAGAUGGAUCCGCGCCGCAUUAGCUAGUUGGUAAGGUAACGGCUUACCAAGGCGACGAUGCGUAGCCGACCUGAGAGGGUGAUCGGCCACACUGGAACUGAGACACGGUCCAGACUCCUACGGGAGGCAGCAGUAGGGAAUCUUCCGCAAUGGGCGAAAGCCUGACGGAGCAACGCCGCGUGAGUGAUGAAGGUCUUCGGAUCGUAAAACUCUGUUAUUAGGGAAGAACAAAUGUGUAAGUAACUAUGCACGUCUUGACGGUACCUAAUCAGAAAGCCACGGCUAACUACGU
RNAcentral lists this ribosomal RNA (495 nucleotides) under uncultured bacterium. RNAcentral describes it as "partial 16S ribosomal RNA". It matches the Rfam family "Bacterial small subunit ribosomal RNA", at positions 29 to 506 of the family's 1533-position model. The record is from RNAcentral.